AAUACAGAACAUCUAUUAAAUAUGACUUUCAGAUUAACAUCAGCUAAUUUUUUUAAACAUAAGUAUAUCCCAUGAAAUAUUUGGGAUAUACUUAUGCUAAAAAAUUAUUUGUUUAUCUGAAAUUCAAAUUUAGCUGGGUGUCCUGUAUUUU
This 151-nucleotide microRNA precursor is filed under the name Loxodonta africana (African savanna elephant). RNAcentral's name for it is "miRNA (ENSLAFG00000024874.1)". The stretch from base 51 to 102 matches the Rfam family "mir-1302 microRNA precursor family". Lineage: Eukaryota; Metazoa; Chordata; Mammalia; Proboscidea; Elephantidae. The record is from RNAcentral.